RNAcentral lists this ribosomal RNA (327 nucleotides) under uncultured eukaryote. Its description in RNAcentral is "partial 18S ribosomal RNA". It matches the Rfam family "Eukaryotic small subunit ribosomal RNA", at positions 1470 to 1796 of the family's 1831-position model. The record is from RNAcentral.
CCCUUAGAUGUUCUGGGCCGCACACGCGCUACACUGAAGGAGGCAGCGUGUACUCCUGGAUCGAAAGAUUUGGGUAACCCGCGAAUCUCCUUCGUGCUAGGGAUUGAGGUUUGCAAUUAUCCUUCAUGAACGAGGAAUUCCCAGUAAGUGCAAGUCAUAAGCUUGCGCUGACUACGUCCCUGCCCUUUGUACACACCGCCCGUCGCUACUACCGAUUGAAUGAUUUAGUGAGGACUUCGAACUGGGACCGAUGCGGCUUUCGGGCUGCGUCGGUAUUCUGGAAAGAUGUCCAAACUGUAUCAUUUAGAGGAAGUAAAAGUCGUAACA